Patella vulgata (common limpet) is the source of this 2102-nucleotide long non-coding RNA. RefSeq lists it as uncharacterized. Lineage: Eukaryota; Metazoa; Mollusca; Gastropoda; Patellidae. The record is from RefSeq and is a predicted model, not a curated record. The transcript is spliced from 5 exons.
UCUACUUUUGAUUUGUUUACCAAAUACUGUGCAAACAUUUAGCUCGUAUAUAAAUUGAAUAACUUCUUUUAUAAGUUUUAAUAUUUGUUACGUCUUUCAUUCUGUGAGUUUAUAUCAAUAUUGUUUAAAAAGAUAAUCAAGAAAAUAAGUUAUGAAAGAGUAGAUUACUAGAUAAUAUUAAUUACGGUACGGUAGCCUAUAAAAUAAAUGACACUGACUGACUGAGUCCGAGGACACAAUUAAGAUGACAGCAUUACUGAAUACAAUAAAAACGGCAAUUACAAGCAAAAGUUUUGGUAUGCCUAUCUACACCGUAGUUGAGAAAACUAAAACAUAUGAAGAAAGACGUUAUCCUGAGACGAGAUGGGUCAGUACUAAAGUAGAGGGCAUGUUUCAUAAAGAAUCCAGAAGCACAGGUUUUAGGAGACUGUUUAAGUAUCUUCAAGGUGAUAAUGAACCAAGUCAGAAAGUCGACAUGACAGCACCAGUAGCAACUAAAAUACAUCCAGGAGCCGGACCCAACUGUGAAAGUACUUUUACAGUUUCGUUCUUCAUCCCACCAGAGAAUGCAGAUAAUCCUCCAGUACCGACUAGUCCCGAUGUUUAUUUAGAAACCUGGCCACCUCAAACUAUUUACACAAAACAAUUUGAUGGGUCUCCUAGUGAUGAUAACUUUGUUUCAAAUGCCCAAGAAUUAGGUCAAGCACUGAGUGGUAAAAACAUAAACCCAAAUAUUUGGUUUACGGCCAGUUAUGAUAGUCCCUUUAAAAUGUUUAAUAAAAGAAAUGAGGUUUGGUAUUUAAAACUUGUCGAAGAAAACAAAACAAUAAAUGAAAACUAAUAUGUAUUUUUUUUUAGUAGUCUCGGUCACCCAGAACCUCCUAGUCUUUAACGUACAGAGGGUCUGGCUGGACCAUUGUUAAUAUUUGACGAAAAGUCCAUUGCCCAUGCCUAACUGGAAGUUUGGUUUUUAAUGCGGUUGAUUAUCCAGUAUCCUUGGACAAGUGAAGAGUUGCAAUAAAUCCCAUAAUUCUUGCAUUAAUAUAAACAAAUAUGAAUCGUGACAACGAAUUAGGAUUAAUUUAAAAAACAUAGAUAUGGCCCAUGAAGAGAGAAAUUUUACAAUAAAAACAAAUUAAAGACUGUCUGAUAUUGAACUGGCAUGGAAUCAAAUAGAUUUUUUGAAAUGGCAUUCUUAAAUUAAUUUCAUAGGCAUCAACAUCUUGUUUUAGGACUAGUUACCUCCCUUAGACACUGUUUAUGAUCAUGUAAAAGACUGGAUAAUCUAGCCAAUGACCUAUUAUUCUCAAAUGUUGACAACACAUCCAGACUAAUAUUCAUAGAAUAUUUUUCUGGACGAUAAAGACUAGUUUUUUUAACGAAAUUGAAAUAUAUAUGAAAUACAUGUAGUUGCAGCUUUGAUGAAAAUUACAACAGAUCACCAUGAACUUAUAAGGUCGAUGAUAUCACACAAAAGGAACAUCACUAAGGAACAUUACUUCACUCGUAGAUCAUUUCGAGACUAACGCAUGAUUCAUUUUUAUUUCAAUAAUUUGCUUGCAGGUAGGGGCCUUUAACAGUGGAAAAACCCGAAGAAAACCCACAUUGUUGGACAGGCGACUCUACUUCUUGUCACAUACGAGCGGGGAAUCAAAUAAAAGUGGAGGAAAAGUAGGAGUAAAUACGACUAUCUGGGCAAAGAGUAAUCUUAGGAUUAGGAAUGGAAAUUACAAUGUGUUUGUCUGAAAAUGACUGGGGGAUAGGAUGGCCGUGUGGUUACCACGCGCGCGCUGUAUCAUAAGGCCUGUCAUUGAGUCAACUGGUGUGGUAUCGAUUCCCCGGUUGUAUGUGACAAGGAGUAGGGUGGCCUGUCCAACCUCGUGGGUUUUCUCCGGGUCCUCCGGUUUCCUCCCACUACUAAAGACUCCUAUUUGUGUCUGACUGACAUAUUUGUUUCUUUUGGCUGAAAGUGUCUUUUACUAUUUGAAUUUGUUUUCUAUUCAUGUAUAAUUUAUUAUAGUAUUUAUUCUAUUCAUGUAUCAUAUUUUUAUUUUGUUAAUUUUAUUAUAUUGUUCUGUUUAUAAUAAAAUAUUCUAUUUUUA